GUUGGUAACUGCGUCAGAGACUUGAGGCUAACAGACAGCCCUCCAGCCCCAGCCUUAGUUUCUCUUAACAUUUAUGCUCCCAACCCAGGCAGACUUGUGGCCCUGGGGCUCAGGAGGCUUGCUGCAGACCAUAGCGCAACCUGCCUCAGGUAUCCGGCAACCAGCACUGCACACUGUUCCCUUCCCGUAAAACAGAUACUCCUACUUCAUCAAAGGUCUCAUCUCAGAUCCUGGUACGAGAUGUGACCCUUGCCGCUAGAUUUAGCCGGAUGUAGCCGUGGUGACCUGUUCUUCUGUUAUCAGACUUUCCCCAUGGAUUCCUCUACAGCACUGAACCACGACUGAACCAGUUGACCAAAGUUGCCCUGUGGACUCCCAAUCUCUGGUUCUGAAUCCAGGAUCAGCGUCACACCAUACAGGGCCUCCUGGCCCUCAGACAUGACAUCAAGUCCUGACAGUGAUCUCAUAAGCGUCCGGGAAGACUGCUGGAUUCUGGCAAGAUCGUCGGGAUCUGGAAUGAGAGGGGUCGAAAUGGACGCCCUCCCUCUCCCUCGCCCCCCAAGGCUUGCCAAGGAGAAUCGUAGAAGUUUGAAAGGGCGUCCUGGGUCUUACCUGCUUUCUUCCUGGCCUCCUUACUGAAUGUGGUAUCGGAGGCCACCUAUGGUUCUGCCUUAUCAAAAAGGACCUACUACGGUGUAGUGGAAGCAGGAGCAGAAACGCUGCUCUCGAGUCGAGAGAAAGGAAAGCAGUGCCGCGGAAGGGACGGAUGUGGCAAGUGCCACAAAGUCCACUCGGUUGCUUUUGUCCCAUUAGAGUUCUUUGCUCCUUUCCCAACUUCUCAUCUUCCUCCCUGUCCUAUAGGCAGAAGGAAGCAAGAGCUCUUACCCAGAGGCAAACAUGGGACUUUCCACAAAGCCUCCUGGGGCGCAGAAGAGGCCCACCAAGGAGAACAGAUUAUCAGGAACCCUGCAACGGUCAGGGCUGGGGGUCGGCCCACCCCUUUGCCCUAACCACCUGUGUUGAAGGUUCUACUCACAACCCUGCUGAUCAAGCAAUCCCAAAUUGGUAAGGCCUGGAUGGACCCAGCAGCGUGGCCCUGUUUCAGUUCUAGGAGCUUGCACUGUACACACUGCUGCACUCCCUCCCUCCCGGGGCUCUGCUAGCCCUACUCACAGACAGAGAUGCUCAGCUCCUAGUCCCAGCCACUGAGCCCUCUAGCACUGCCCUCUGGUUUGGUAGAGAGCUCCUUUGGGAAGGCAGGUGCCCCCUUCAGGGAUUAGAAAUUGUCAUUCCCCAGACAGGCACUUGUGCCCGGCCCCAGCUCACCAGUGCAGUCUCUCUGGAGAUCUGGGGACCGCAGUUUUCCAGUGCCUUUACUCACUCCUUGAGCUCCACCUUCUCAUACUUGACCUUUCAGGAAAUAGCCCUGGAGCCCAAAUCAGAUCACAGGUCUUGAUGGAAACCUGCUGUGGUCCCACAUCCUUCCUGGCCCUUGUCAGAUGGCUUCUGUAGCUUCUCCAUGCCAAGUGUAGAACCCAGCGGCACUGUCAAACACGGUCUGCCCCACUCCUGGCCGGCCAGUAUCGGAUUCUCUGUUCUGACAAGAAUUACCAAAUGAACAAUAUGAGGGAGCUACUCUUCUUCAACACUAGCUACAUGGGCGGGUAGAACUGCCACUUGCAGACAAGAGAGGAUCAUGUGUAUUAAGGGGACACCAGGGACACUAGAGGGCAGGAAGCCAAAGGGAAGCGCUUCCCUUUUCUCGGCCUCAGCCGGUGUGAGGGCCCAGAGAAAUCAGAGGGUGGGGACCCAAAGUAUCCUGGUGUCCAAUGACAAGAGGGAAGGUGAGGACAAAACACCAAGUGGCAGAAGUAUGUUUAGGGUCUCUUCAGAAAUUGUCAGAAAGUCUGGCCUAAUGUAACCCAGUGAGUUGAUGUUUAUGCUCAUCACUUGGGAAAACUGGAAACAACCAUAAACUUUUAUCUGCUCUGCUGUUCAUUUGAUCUGAACACGAAUCUCUGAUUAAUGGGCUGGGGCCACAUCCAGGCACAUUUGGCCAACCUAUAUUUGAAAGCUACCUAGCUCUUUUCUCUUGGCCUUACCAAGAAAUCCAGCAUUAGCUUGUGGUAGCAUUCCCAACCUUGCCUGCCUUCUCCUAGUACUAGAGUUCCAUGACCCCCAAACUGAGCCUGAGAAGCUGUGACAGUUGGGACACUGUUAACUGCUUUUCAAAGUCAAGGAGACUGGGCUGUAGACGGCCUUGCAGUCCAUGGCAAACAAGUCUAGUAGCCAGCACAGCAGGUAUCACACCUGCUAAUGGCAUAAGCCUGGUUCUGUUUCUCAGGCCAGAGCAGGCUGGCACUCUGAUUCUCUGACAGGAAGCCCAGUGCCCCUUCAGACAAUGACCUAUAUUCAGAAGGUCAGGAAGUGUCAAGACUAGAGCAUCUAGUUCCUAGGAAAACAUCCUCCAGGGUGCACACAACAGCUCUGUAGAAUGAGUCUGCUGAAGAAAGGGUUCAAGAUGAUCUCGGGGUGCAGAUGAGUUUGGUGGGGUACUCAACUGGCAUGCAGGAGUCUCUUGGAUCACUUCUCACCAUUGUUGAAACUGGGUGUAAUGAUGCAUGCCUGUAAAUCCUAGCACUCGGGUGAUGGAGGCAGGAGGAUCAGAAGUUUAAGGUCAUCCUCUGCUGCAAAGGAAGUGUGAGGAUAGCCAGUAAUGCAGGGGACAGAGUCAUAAAAGCAAAUAAAAUGAUAACUGAAAUA
Mesocricetus auratus (golden hamster) is the source of this 2763-nucleotide long non-coding RNA. RefSeq lists it as uncharacterized. NCBI's taxonomy places the organism in Eukaryota, Metazoa, Chordata, Mammalia, Rodentia, Cricetidae. The record is from RefSeq and is a predicted model, not a curated record. The transcript is spliced from 2 exons.